AGUGAACGCUGGCGGCGUGCCUAAUACAUGCAAGUCGAACGGACGAGUAAGAGCUUGCUCUUAUGAGUUAGUGGCGCACGGGUGAGUAAUGUAUAGCUAAUCUGCCCUACACUAGAGGACAACAGUUGGAAACGACUGCUAAUACUCUAUACUCCUCUCUAGCAUAAGUUAGAUAGGGAAAGUUUUUCGGUGUAGGAUGAGGCUAUAUUGUAUCAGCUAGUUGGUGAGGUAAUGGCUCACCAAGGCUAUGACGCAUAACUGGUCUGAGAGGAUGAUCAGUCACACUGGAACUGAGACACGGUCCAGACUCCUACGGGAGGCAGCAGUAGGGAAUAUUGCUCAAUGGGGGAAACCCUGAAGCAGCAACGCCGCGUGGAGGAUGACACUUUUCGGAGCGUAAACUCCUUUUGUUAGGGAAGAACAAUGACGGUACCUAACGAAUAAGCACCGGCUAACUCCGUGCCAGCAGCCGCGGUAAUACGGAGGGUGCAAGCGUUACUCGGAAUCACUGGGCGUAAAGGACGCGUAGGCGGAUUAUCAAGUCUCUUGUGAAAUCCUAUGGCUUAACCAUAGAACUGCUUGGGAAACUGAUAAUCUAGAGUGAGGGAGAGGCAGAUGGAAUUGGUGGUGUAGGGUAA
This 638-nucleotide ribosomal RNA is filed under the name uncultured Campylobacter sp. Its description in RNAcentral is "bacterial SSU rRNA". It matches the Rfam family "Bacterial small subunit ribosomal RNA", at positions 28 to 683 of the family's 1533-position model. The record is from RNAcentral. Lineage: Bacteria; Pseudomonadati; Campylobacterota; Epsilonproteobacteria; Campylobacterales; Campylobacteraceae.